RNAcentral lists this long non-coding RNA (314 nucleotides) under Arachis ipaensis. RNAcentral describes it as "long non-coding RNA (AIPA_LNC000315)". The record is from RNAcentral. Lineage: Eukaryota; Viridiplantae; Streptophyta; Magnoliopsida; Fabales; Fabaceae.
AAACCAAUGUGAAAACACGCGUAGAAACAUCAUAAAUUCAUAAUUCACAACUCAAAACCUUAAUUCAAAUUUGAACUAUUAAUUCAAAUAAGGUAAAGACAAUACAAAUUGAUGUGCAACAUUGUCAAUCACUUUAACCCCAAACAAACUUUUAGUAAUAGAAACCCAAACUCAAAACUAGCAUCCAAAUUUACAGAAUUCAAUAAGGUAAAAGAAGUAGGAUUGAGCUUUGAAGCCAAGAACAAAUAAAUAAAUAAUCGAUAAACUGAUAAGAAUUUUUGAAUUUGUAGAAACUUCGGGAACCACGAAGUUUC